UUCAACAUGAAAAUGAAAAAACAUAUUUCCAGUGUUUACCUCAAUUCCAAAUUAAUUUCUAUCAACUGUCUAGGUCUUUCAACCAUUACCUUAGGCUUUUCUUUCUGAAGAAUAGCAAAAUAAUAUUGGAGCUUAAUAUUUCCCACUCGAGUGGAAGAUGUUCCCAUAAAUAUGUUUUGGGGUUACAUGUUUGAAAAUGUAUCGCAACAUAUUGUAUGUAAGGAGAGAGAAACAUUUUUUCUUGCUCUUUAUACUCUUCCAUGGAUGCUGCCCAACUUAUGCACAGACCACAAACUGACAAAAGUAGUAUGCCCCAUAACUGUUAAAGAAUAAAAUUAUGUAGUAGUCAUAAUUCCUUGCUUAUUAGAGUCCCUGAAAAUUGCCUCACAUUCACAACAAGCAUAGAUGCCCCACCCAAACUCCAGAAACCAUACAAGCAAGGCAAGGCUGCCAGAACUGAUAAGGGUUUCUUGAACCUGGACCCUCAAAAGCCCAAAGUGGAUUGGAGAGUAUAAAAGUGCAGGCAGAAGGGCCCUUUUGGCCUCAGAAGUAAGAAUUCAUAGCCAGUGUGUCAUCUUCCUUCUCCUGCAAGAGUACUGUAGUCUUGUUUUCCAAGUCUUUUUCCCAUCUACGUACAGACACUGCUGUAUGUGUGUAUUGAAAGGUGUGGUUGAUUUGGAAUUGAAUAAACCUUUUCUUGGAAACUCCUAACUGUAUGAUACAACACCAUGAACAACUUCCUUAUUAUAUGAAAGGGUAGCACAGUAACACACUAAUGGCCCCAAAUGGAGAGUAAUUAUUAUUGCAAAUUCUUGAGAGAACAGAAACAAAAGGCAAAAGAUAUAUAUAGAUUACAACAUGUUCUUGACACAGCACAAAAAUUGAAUGGAGGUGAGGACAGUUUCAGCAACAAAUGACUUAAACAUUGAAUCUAAAAGGAAAACAUGGCUAUCAAACUUAAAGUAACUAGAAUGUCAACAAUAAACCUUACAGAUCACCUGUCCCAAUAAAAAAACAGAAUGUUGACUUUUUAAACACACAUGUAUCCAGAAGAAUUAUUGGGAAAUUAUUGUAUCCAUUUCUAAGUAUCUCUAAGUACUGGAAAUAUGUAUUUUGAUAUAGAUUCAAAAAAUAAUUAAUGUGUAAGACAAACUAUUUUAGAAGAUAUUUAAAGGAUUAUAUUUAGGUUGGUUAGGCAAAGAACUGAAAAAGAACACCCUGCCCUUAUUUCAAUUCUAUUUGCUCUGUGAAGGAGUGGAGCUGGCCAACUUAAGUUACUUCUUUGUGCCCAGGAUAUAACUCAUCCCAAGUAGCUUUUGAAUUGCCUGGGAGCUCACAAAAGGAGAGGGGUCCCUGAAGGAUUUCUAGGACUAUGAAAUAGUUUGAGUACACCAUGCUCUCUUUGUACAUAGUAUCCAGCUGAGUUCAAAGUACAAAUAGGCACUUAGUAAACAAUGUUGACUUGAAUGAAUUAACUAGAUUUUUUUUCCUGUAGCUUAAGGUUAAUCUCUCCAGAGACAAUAUCACAUUGUUUUUCUUGAAAUAUUUCUAAUAUGAUACAGUUUAAGCCAAAAUCUGAAUCAUAAUACAGUGAAUAAUCAUAGUUUCUUAGACAUACACUAUUUCAAAAUUCUUUGCCCACUGAAAAGUAAGUUCAGGGAGACCCUUAAACCUCCCCUUACCCUAGAUACUAAAUUUCACUGCUUCUGGCAAGAACAGAUGAGUUAAUGCAUUCUAUUUAUAGUUGAUUCAUAUACUUCUCCAUCAUAGAAUGGAUUCCAGGAAAGAGGUGGGAUAUUGUAACUGUGUGCAGUAACAUUUCAUAGUUCUUUAAUACAUUCUAAGUGCUGAUGAAAAAUUUCUUCCCUUCCUCAUAUUUUUAUGAAAGCCUAAGUUGCAAGAUUUUAAGCUGGAUGGUAAGAACACAGCUACAUAUUAUCACCCUUGACAUUUGCAGACUGAAAAGAACUCUUUUUUCGUCUUGGUUUCUUUCACUCACUGACUCAAUAAACAAUACUUAUUUAUUGUAGGAAAAUUUAAAGACCAAACCCAGGAUGGUAAAAUGGCAAGAGGAUGGGUUUUGGAGUAACACAACCCUAGUCACAAAUCCUGACUCUUCCCCCUUAAUAGCUGGAUGACCGUAACCUUCUGACCAUCCUCAUCUGUAAAAUGAGGAGAAAAAGACUCGCCCUGGGGAUGCUGAGUUUUGAAGAAGAAAAUGUAUUUGAAGCACUUAGCACAAAGCCUGAUUGUUCAUAACUUUCUGCACCCUUUUCUUUAUCUCCUUCCCUUCUCUUCUUUCACUUCUUUUGAUGUUGUACAAUAUAAUCAUGUUUCCAGAAGAAAAGAUUAAGCCAUGAAUUUCUCUAUCCUCUAUUUACACAAAUUACAUGUUUCUUUCUAAUAUGAAUCAUUAUACAAUUCUACCACAUUAAAAUAACAAUAAAUUAUGAUUAAAAUAUACUACUAAUAAUGAUAUUUUUCAUGUAUAUGACCUCCCAAGUUUGAAGAACUUGCUGAAUAUUAUAAUAAACUCUAAAGGGCAUGAUUGCCUCCUGUAACUGAAUCUAUCAAUAGGCAAGUCUUGAUCUAUGCUCAGAAGAUCUCAUUAAGAACCUGAUUUUGUAGUUUUUGCUUAGUGCACAGGCUGGGUUGUCCCCUCGUGGCCCUUAUGAUGCAGGAGAGAGAGGAAAAUUCUUCGAGAGAGACACUGGAGAAAGCAAGAGAGGAUGAGCAGAUAUUUGGGCAGAUUAUCUUGUGGGAAGAACAAUCAAAUGCAAAGGUAAU
RNAcentral lists this long non-coding RNA (2787 nucleotides) under Homo sapiens (human). Its description in RNAcentral is "HSALNT0044623". The record is from RNAcentral. Lineage: Eukaryota; Metazoa; Chordata; Mammalia; Primates; Hominidae.